This 455-nucleotide ribosomal RNA is filed under the name uncultured Clostridium sp. RNAcentral describes it as "bacterial SSU rRNA". It matches the Rfam family "Bacterial small subunit ribosomal RNA", at positions 27 to 499 of the family's 1533-position model. The record is from RNAcentral. Lineage: Bacteria; Bacillati; Bacillota; Clostridia; Eubacteriales; Clostridiaceae.
GGACGAACGCUGGCGGCGUGCCUAACACAUGCAAGUCGAGCGAUGAAGUUUCUUCGGGAACGGAUUAGCGGCGGACGGGUGAGUAACACGUGGGCAACCUGCCCCAUAGAGGGGAAUAGCCUUCCGAAAGGAAGAUUAAUACCGCAUAAGAUUGUAGCUUCGCAUGAAGUAGCAAUUAAAGGAGCAAUCCGCUAUAAGAUGGGCCCGCGGCGCAUUAGCUAGUUGGUGAGGUAACGGCUCACCAAGGCGACGAUGCGUAGCCGACCUGAGAGGGUGAUCGGCCACAUUGGGACUGAGACGCGGCCCAGACUCCUACGGGAGGCAGCAGUGGGGAAUAUUGCACAAUGGGGGAAACCCUGAUGCAGCAACGCCGCGUGAGUGAUGACGGCCUUCGGGUUGUAAAGCUCUGUCUUUGGGGACGAUAAUGACGGUACCUGAGGAGGAAGCCACGGCUA